UGAGGAAUAUUGCACAAUGGGCGCAAGCCUGAUGCAGCAACGCCGCGUGCGGGACGAAGGCCUUCGGGUCGUAAACCGCUUUUCUGGGGGAAGAGCAAGGACGGUACCUCAGGAAUAAGUCUCGGCUAACUACGUGCCAGCAGCCGCGGUAAUACGUAGGGGGCAAGCGUUGUCCGGAUUUACUGGGUGUAAAGGGCGCGCAGGCGGGAUAAAAAGUCAGUGGUGAAAUCCUACAGCUUAACUGUAGAACUGCCUUUGAUACUUUUAUUCUUGAGUUCGGGAGAGAGAGACGGAAUUCCAGGUGUAGUGGUGAAAUACGUAGAUAUCUGGAAGAACACCAGUUGCGAAGGCGGUCUCUUGGUCCGACACUGACGCUGAGGCGCGAAAGCGUGGGGAGCAAACA
Molecule: ribosomal RNA, 403 nt
Filed under: uncultured bacterium
Lineage: Bacteria
Description: bacterial SSU rRNA
Rfam family: Bacterial small subunit ribosomal RNA
Source: RNAcentral